Salvia splendens (bonfire salvia) is the source of this 105-nucleotide small nuclear RNA. Lineage: Eukaryota; Viridiplantae; Streptophyta; Magnoliopsida; Lamiales; Lamiaceae. The record is from RefSeq and is a predicted model, not a curated record.
GCAUCUAACUAUUGACAAUACAUCUAAUAAAAUUGGAACGAUACAGAGACGAUUAGCACUGCCUUUGUGCAAGGACUCAUAAAUUGAGAAAUGGUCCAAAUUUAU